AACGAACGCUGGCGGCAUGCCUAACACAUGCAAGUCGAACGAGACCUCCGGGUCUAGUGGCGCACGGGUGCGUAACGCGUGGGAACCUGCCCUUAGGUUCGGAAUAACUCCCCGAAAGGGGUGCUAAUACCGGAUAAUGUCUUCGGACCUAAGAUUUAUCGCCUUUGGAUGGGCCCGCGUUGGCUUAGCUGGUUGGUACGGUAAAAGCCUACCAUGGCGACGAUCCAUAGCUGGUCUGAGAGGAUGAUCAGCCACACUGGGGCUGAGACACGGCCCAGACUCCUACGGGAGGCAGGAGAGGGGAGUAUUGGACAAGGGGCGAAGGCCUGAUACAGCAGUGCCGCGUGAGUGAUGAAGGGCUUAGGGUUGUAAAGCUCUUUUACCCGGGAUGAUAAUGACGGUACCGGGAGAAUAAGCACCGGCUAACUCCGUG
This 433-nucleotide ribosomal RNA is filed under the name uncultured bacterium. RNAcentral describes it as "partial 16S ribosomal RNA". It matches the Rfam family "Bacterial small subunit ribosomal RNA", at positions 29 to 507 of the family's 1533-position model. The record is from RNAcentral.